UACGGAGGGUGCAAGCGUUGUCCGGAAUCACUGGGUGUAAAGGGUGUGUAGGCGGGUCGGUAAGUCAGGGGUGAAAGGCAGCGGCUUAACCGUUGAAUUGCCUUUGAUACUGCCGGUCUUGAGUCCCGGAGAGGUCACUGGAAUUCGUGGUGUAGCGGUGAAAUGCGUAGAUAUCACGAGGAACACCGGAGGUGUAGACGGGUGACUGGACGGCGACUGACGCUGAGGCACGAAAGCGUGGGGAGCAAACAGG
RNAcentral lists this ribosomal RNA (253 nucleotides) under uncultured bacterium. Its description in RNAcentral is "partial 16S ribosomal RNA". It matches the Rfam family "Bacterial small subunit ribosomal RNA", at positions 524 to 776 of the family's 1533-position model. The record is from RNAcentral.